RNAcentral lists this non-coding RNA (27 nucleotides) under Rattus norvegicus (Norway rat). The record is from RNAcentral. Lineage: Eukaryota; Metazoa; Chordata; Mammalia; Rodentia; Muridae.
UUCAGUAUUGGAGAAAUGUGAGCAAGC